This 581-nucleotide ribosomal RNA is filed under the name uncultured bacterium. RNAcentral's name for it is "bacterial SSU rRNA". It matches the Rfam family "Bacterial small subunit ribosomal RNA", at positions 331 to 929 of the family's 1533-position model. The record is from RNAcentral.
CCAGACUCCUACGGGAGGCAGCAGUGGGGAAUAUUGGACAAUGGACCGAAAGUCUGAUCCAGCAAUUCUGUGUGCACGAUGAAGUUUUUCGGAAUGUAAAGUGCUUUCAGUUGGGAAGAAAUAAAUGACGGUACCAACAGAAGAAGUGACGGCUAAAUACGUGCCAGCAGCCGCGGUAAUACGUAUGGAGCAAGCGUUAUCCGGAUUUACUGGGUGUAAAGGGAGCGCAGACGGUUAUGCAAGUCUGAAGUGAAAAACCACGGCUCAACUGUGGUCUUGCUUUGGAAACUGUGUAACUAGAGUGUCGGAAGGGUAAGCGGAAUUCCUAGUGUAGCGGUGAAAUGCGUAGAUAUUAGGAAGAACACCGGAGGCGAAGGCGGCUUACUGGACGAUAACUGACGUUGAGGCUCGAAGGCGUGGGUAGCAAACAGGAUUAGAUACCCUGGUAGUCCACGCCGUAAACGAUGAGUACUAGGUGUCGGGUGAAGAACUCGGUGCCGAAGUUAACACAUUAAGUACUCCGCCUGGGGAGUACGCUCGCAAGAGUAAAACUCAAAGGAAUUGACGGGGGCCCGCACAAG